RNAcentral lists this long non-coding RNA (1078 nucleotides) under Heterocephalus glaber (naked mole-rat). RNAcentral's name for it is "lncRNA (ENSHGLG00100034843.1)". Lineage: Eukaryota; Metazoa; Chordata; Mammalia; Rodentia; Bathyergidae. The record is from RNAcentral.
CCCUAGUCUCCUUUGUGCCCAUAAAAUAAUGGUAAAAUGUCCUUGCUGUGGGACAACAGAUAAGAAGGACACAGCUCCUAACUCAAUCCUCUGUCUGCCCAGAAAACAGUUGCUCCCGGGCCCAUUAUCUAUAGAACAUUCUGUCAAUGUGCUGAUUGUUCCUUUUUCCCAUAAACUCUACAUGCAGCCACCCCUCAACCCCCCAUGCUUGCUAAAUAUCAACCAAUCAUGUAACUGCUAAAUGGAACAUCCCCAAACCUUGCAGUAGCCACAAUAAAAACCCUGCUGAUUUGGAAUUCGGGGCUCUCAAUCCUGAUCUGCUGCAUCGGUGACAGUUGAGUGCCCCUGCUCGAGCUUGAAUAAACGACCCUCGUGUGUUUACAUCAGAAUCGGCUCCUUGGUGGUCUUUGGGGACUUCAUGAUCUGGGCACAACAUUUGGGGGCUCAUCUGGGAUCCCCAAGACCCUCAGGAUUCCUGUACCGGAGGGUUGACGCCAGCUGAGCCUCCAGCUUGUUCAUGAAGAUGUCUGGUCUAAAUUAAAAGCCCUGUACGAGUCCAGACCACCACCUGAGCCCCAUCGCUAUCGACCAGGGGACUAGGUUUUUGUCCAAAGAUAUCGACAGGGAAACCUUAAGCCUCGCUGGAAGGGACCCUAUGUUAUUGUUUUGACCACGCCCACUGCUCUCAAAGUCGACGGGAUCACCUCGUGGAUACAUUACACUCACGCCUGUCCCGCAGAUCCACACUCUGUUCUAGAAGACUUCAUCCCAUCAUGGCAGGUGUCCAAAGACCGAGACAACCCAGUCAAACUCAAACUCAAACUGCACCAUCGUCAGUCAUAAUUAUGUACCUCCACAGGUGACAUUGUUAACAGUUCAUUUAAAGUGACACCGCUGCUGACCUGGUGGCCUGCUAUAGACUUUGACAUGUGCCUGCUAGCAGCAGGAACAUGGGAUAUUAGAGACUGGGAAACAAAAUCAAAGGGAAAGCCUGAAUGUGGACAGAAUAUCAAUGAUUGUGAGAUGAAAAUGCCAACCUCUUCUGCCCCCGGGUGUAGUCACCCAGUCUGGAGAGCCG